AGCCCCAAAAUAUGAACAAUAUGAAAAACCCCAACAAAAUAAUUAAAAGAAAAACCCAUUUUAAUUCAACAAAACCACAAUACAAAUCAUAUUUGUGUUGAAUCGAAAAUUACCUAUGAGAGAUUGGAAAAUUUGGAUUAGAAUCUUCCAAUUUGGAAGGGGUUCCUGACACACCCCGAUCGAGAUCAAGGCAUGCUGGCC
RNAcentral lists this long non-coding RNA (201 nucleotides) under Malus domestica (apple). RNAcentral describes it as "long non-coding RNA (MDOM_LNC019584)". The record is from RNAcentral. Lineage: Eukaryota; Viridiplantae; Streptophyta; Magnoliopsida; Rosales; Rosaceae.